UGGGAAACCGGGGCUAAUACCGGAUACUGAUCGCCUUGGGCAUCCUUGGUGAUCGAAAGCUCCGGCGGUGCAGGAUGAGCCCGCGGCCUAUCAGCUUGUUGGUGAGGUAAUGGCUCACCAAGGCGACGACGGGUAGCCGGCCUGAGAGGGCAACCGGCCACACUGGGACUGAGACACGGCCCAGACUCCUACGGGAGGCAGCAGUGGGGAAUAUUGCACAAUGGGCGAAAGCCUGAUGCAGCGACGCCGCGUGAGGGAUGACGGCCUUCGGGUUGUAAACCUCUUUCAGCAGGGAAGAAGCGAAAGUGACGGUACCUGCAGAAGAAGCGCCGGCUAAACUACGUGCCAGCAGCCGCGGUA
RNAcentral lists this ribosomal RNA (360 nucleotides) under uncultured bacterium. RNAcentral describes it as "bacterial SSU rRNA". It matches the Rfam family "Bacterial small subunit ribosomal RNA", at positions 150 to 522 of the family's 1533-position model. The record is from RNAcentral.